GACGAACGCUGGCGGCGUGCUUAACACAUGCAAGUCGAACGGAAAGGCCCUGCUUUUGUGGGGUGCUCGAAUGGCGAACGGGUGAGUAACGCGUGAGUAACCUGCCCUUGACUUUGGGAUAACUUCAGGAAACUGGGGCUAAUACCGGAUAGGAGCUCCUGCUGCAUGGGGGGGGUUGGAAAGUUUCGGCGGUUGGGGAUGGACUGGGGGCUUAUCAGCUUGUGGGUGGGGUAGUGGCUUACCAAGGCUUUGACGGGUAGCCGGCCUGAGGGGGUGACCGGCCACAUUGGGACUGAGAUACGGCCCAGACUCCUGCGGGAGUGAGCAGUGGGGAAUAUUGCACAAUGGGCGGAAGCCUGAUGCAGCAACGCCGCGUGCGGGAUGACGGCCUUCGGGUUGUAAACCGCUUUCGCCUGUGACGAAGCGUGAGUGACGGUAAUGGGUAAAGAAGCACCGGCUAACUACGUG
This 468-nucleotide ribosomal RNA is filed under the name uncultured bacterium. RNAcentral's name for it is "partial 16S ribosomal RNA". It matches the Rfam family "Bacterial small subunit ribosomal RNA", at positions 28 to 507 of the family's 1533-position model. The record is from RNAcentral.